Molecule: transfer RNA, 76 nt
Filed under: Desulfoscipio geothermicus
Lineage: Bacteria; Bacillati; Bacillota; Clostridia; Eubacteriales; Desulfallaceae
Also listed under: 3 other names
Description: tRNA_Val_TAC
Rfam family: tRNA
About the family: Transfer RNA (tRNA) molecules are approximately 80 nucleotides in length. Their secondary structure includes four short double-helical elements and three loops (D, anti-codon, and T loops).
Source: RNAcentral
GGGCGAUUAGCUCAGUUGGGAGAGCGCCUGCCUUACAAGCAGGAUGUCGGCGGUUCAAGUCCGUCAUCGCCCACCA